AAAAGAUGGAACUGUUUUCAUGAAUUUGAAAUGUUGCACUAUUUGAAGUGUAAUCCACUGUCUCUGCGAAAAUAUAGUUUUCUCUGUAGUAUUGGUUUGUGAAAUGUCUCUGCUCGUAGAUGGCUUCACAGGUACUUAGCCACGAAGGAUAUAGACAUAAUUAUUAUCGACAAUAUGAUUAUUAUAGAGUUAUUGACAUUACCAACAGCAAUAUCAGAUACCGGAAAAUAUUUCUGAAAAUCAAGUCAUUGGUGACAGUACUAGUGGAGGCAUGUAUGUGUAAAGACAGUUGAUAAACAAUAUUCACAGUGGGCAUGAAAUAGGUCCAGCUGCUACUGUGGGAAGUGGGAGCUGUGGGACACACCCAGCAUUCAGGUGGGCCUCAUCUUGGGUUGGAAGGAAGGCAUGUCAUCCUGCAGGUUGGGAACAAGAUAGGGUUUUCUACGAGACCAUGGCCAAUGGCAGUGUCUACUUCCGUUUCUACAAGGUCCACACCUUCCAGACCUUCUCCAGACAUGUGACAAAAAGAGACUACCUAAGCUGGUGCAGAUACAGCCUGUGUACCACCCUAUGCCUUUAGUGGGAACCAGAAACCACAGCGAUUGCUCUCAUGUACCUGGCAGGGAAGGUGAGCAAGUUUGAUGUCGCAGACUGGGUAGUCCACACCUGUAAACACUAAUGCUGGUGCGGCAUGCAUGGUGGAGGGAUCUCCAUGGAGCUGCGGGAAGAUAUCUAUCAGCAGAUGCUCGACUUGUACUCACGCAACUGCUCAAAGGGAGGUGGUACAAGCAGUUAGCCCUCCAUCACCACGUCCUCGGCUUGGCCCAAGAUGCCGAGUAACACUCACACAGUGGAUUUCUUGUCCUGUUGCUGUUACAUUGUUCAUGACCAAGAUAGGUUUUGUUAAUAAAAAUGCAGGUCAUGCUUCUUACAUUGUUACCCUUUGUAUAUGCCUGUGGCCCAGGAAUUGUAUGUGAAACAAAAAUAUUUUUUGCAAGUAUAUGUCCUUUUCAUGUAUAGAAUA
This is a non-coding RNA of Penaeus vannamei (Pacific white shrimp), 1024 nucleotides long. Lineage: Eukaryota; Metazoa; Arthropoda; Malacostraca; Decapoda; Penaeidae. The record is from RefSeq and is a predicted model, not a curated record.